UGACCGUUGAAACGUACGUCAUCACAUCUUGCGUAGAGGCCAGUGCUUGCUAUGCGGUCGAAGCAUUGGAGAAGGUUGUCGCUUUUUAUCAGAAUUCUUACAAACAGAUUGUUGUCAACAAUGAAUAUGGAUGGCUCAGGGCUGAAGAAGGCCUUUGGAAAAACACUGCUAUGCCGAGUUAUAAUAGGUGCUCUACAGCAGUCCACACCUUCAGCAUCAGAGGCUGAAAUAAAUAAAUACAGCUAAAAAAUGGCUAUCUCCGGUCUUCUCCCGAUAGAUGUGGGGGUAUGGGACGAC
Molecule: long non-coding RNA, 297 nt
Organism: Triplophysa dalaica
Lineage: Eukaryota; Metazoa; Chordata; Actinopteri; Cypriniformes; Nemacheilidae
Exons: 3
Source: RefSeq, a predicted model, not a curated record